GGAUGUGAGGGCGAUCUGGCUGCAACAUCUGUCACCCCAUUGAUCACCAGGGUUGAUUUGGCUGAUCUGGCUGACUAGGAGGGUGUCCCCUUCCUCCCUCACUGCUCCAUGUGUGUCCCUCCUGAAGCUGCACGCGUGGUCGAAGAGGACUGCCUUCCCUGAAUCAGAGACUGACUGGUCUUCGGUCGAGGGUAUAUGAGUAGCUGCACUCCCCUGCUAGAACCUCCAAACAAGCUCUCAAGAAAGAAGCUGAGGGAAGAGAAAGCAGACCAGCAGAAGCAGAAAACAGAAUU
This 293-nucleotide small nuclear RNA is filed under the name Erinaceus europaeus (western European hedgehog). Its description in RNAcentral is "7SK RNA". It matches the Rfam family "7SK RNA". Rfam says of the family: 7SK was discovered as an abundant small nuclear RNA in the mid-70s but a possible function has only recently been suggested. Two independent studies have found that 7SK RNA binds the CDK9/cyclin T complex (known as elongation factor P-TEFb). Lineage: Eukaryota; Metazoa; Chordata; Mammalia; Eulipotyphla; Erinaceidae. The record is from Rfam by way of RNAcentral.